UAGGGAAUCUUCGGCAAUGGACGAAAGUCUGACCGAGCAACGCCGCGUGAGUGAAGAAGGGUUUCGGAUCGUAAAACUCUGUUGUUAGAGAAGAACAAGGACGUUAGUAACUGAACGUCCCCUGACGGUAUCUAACCAGAAAGCCACGGCUAACUACGUGCCAGCAGCCGCGGUAAUACGUAGGUGGCAAGCGUUGUCCGGAUGUAUUGGGCGUAAAGCGAGCGCAGGCGGUUUCUUAAGUCUGAUGUGAAAGCCCCCGGCUCAACCGGGGAGGGUCAGUGGAAACUGGGAGACUUGAGUGCAGAAGAGGAGAGUGGAAUUCCAUGUGUAGCGGUGAAAUGCGUAGAUAUAUGGAGGAACACCAGUGGCGAAAGCGGCUCUCUGGUCUGUAACUGACGCUGAGGCUCGAAAGCGUGGGGAGCAAACAGG
Molecule: ribosomal RNA, 429 nt
Filed under: Gemmatimonadota bacterium
Lineage: Bacteria; Pseudomonadati; Gemmatimonadota
Description: Gemmatimonadetes bacterium partial 16S ribosomal RNA
Rfam family: Bacterial small subunit ribosomal RNA
Source: RNAcentral